This 208-nucleotide ribosomal RNA is filed under the name uncultured bacterium. RNAcentral's name for it is "partial 16S ribosomal RNA". It matches the Rfam family "Bacterial small subunit ribosomal RNA", at positions 568 to 775 of the family's 1533-position model. The record is from RNAcentral.
CGCGCAGGCGGUCGUACAAGUCGCGUGUGAAAGCCCCCGGCUCAACUGGGGAGGGUCACGCGAUACUGUUCGACUCGAAGGCAGGAGAGGGAAGUGGAAUUCCCGGUGUAGUGGUGAAAUGCGUAGAUAUCGGGGGAACGACCAGUGGCGAAGGCGACUUUCUGGCCUGUUCUUGACGCUGAGGCGCGAAAGCUAGGGUAGGCAAACG